This 159-nucleotide non-coding RNA is filed under the name Candidatus Omnitrophus magneticus. Its description in RNAcentral is "6S / SsrS RNA". It matches the Rfam family "6S / SsrS RNA". From Rfam's summary of the family: E. coli 6S RNA was the first non coding RNA to be sequenced, but its function was unknown until recently. The record is from Rfam by way of RNAcentral. Lineage: Bacteria; Pseudomonadati; Candidatus Omnitrophota.
AAUUUCCUGUCUGGUGCGUGCUUUUGGUAAGAGAAUUUGUCCAAUACUAUAAAAUUGGGAGCUUAACUCUGGUUUUCUUUCGGGAUUACUAGGAAGGCACCCACGUAGUUCCAUCGGGGCUACAAUCUCUGCCUUUAGUUACGGCCAGAUGGGGUUUUA